AGAACUGAAGAAGAAAGCUUGCAUUGCUGAUGAGAGCAAUGCAAUGACGAGAGCUGUCACUCAUUCUGAUCCAGAACAAGAUGAGAAAUCUCCCAGCACUGGAAAAGAAAGAACAAAUGAAGAGCAAAGGCCCUGUCCUUCCUGCUUCCUGCAGGUUUGUGGGCCCAAGGCUGCUGUAUCCUGAUUAUACCUGAUUUCCCCCCAGUGGGCCUUGCAUGGGGAUAAAGGCUUUACCAGCUAGGUGCGAGGAGGAAACAGCACUGCUGAAAGCAGUCACCCUCCUCCCGCAGCGCAGCUAGCUUUCUGCUUACGUGACCUGGCCUUCAGUUGAAAACAAAACAAAAACGCUGCCCAGAGAACUCCUCGACUUACCUCAGUUAUUAAAUAAUAUGACGUCUUAACGUCACGCAAAUUGGGGUUAUGUUCUUUAACCCUUCAGUUUAUGCUUACUUGUGGUAGACGGGCAGCGAGGCGGCGCCCACAGCGGCAGGUGUGCAGGCGGGGAC
RNAcentral lists this long non-coding RNA (506 nucleotides) under Struthio camelus australis. RNAcentral describes it as "lncRNA (ENSSCUG00000008981.1)". Lineage: Eukaryota; Metazoa; Chordata; Aves; Struthioniformes; Struthionidae. The record is from RNAcentral.